UUUUAAACAUCUCUUGCAUUAAGAUUGGCCAUGGGUGAGAGUGUGCCACUGACUCAGUGAUCAGCAAUAACUCUGGCAUGCUGAAGCAGGGCCAGGAAAGACCUCUUGGAGUUAUGGCCCUUGGUACAGAGACAUAAUGCAGUUUAUAGCAACCAGCACUGACGUGGCUACACCACAGUACUUUGUUUUCCCAGCAGAGACUUGUUAUUUACAUUCACUCCUUACACCUUUGGACUGUAUUGUCAACUGAACUGUUCCCUGUUGUUGCAUCUGCACUUCUGAAACUGGCAGAAACUGAAGGGGGUUCUUUGAAGUUCCACCUUGUAAAAUAUGUAAACAGCAAGCUCUUCUCUGGGAAAAGUUCAGCCAUCCAGUCACAAUGAUAGAAAUAUUUCAAGAUUAUUACAGAACUUGAUAUGUUGUGUAUCUGUUCCAAGAACUGACCUGGUGAACUGAAGCUGAGAAAGAAACUGUUCAACGCACAGUGACACCUGCAGCUGUGGAAGGAAGUGGCCUCGUUCUUUACAUGCAAAUAAAUGUUCUUUCUUUCGAUUUUGUCUUAAAUUAUAUUGGUAAUCUAACGCUCUGCUCACAAAUCUUACAUUAGGAUUUUUUUUCUAAUGAUUCAAAAGGCAUUUGUUUACCUCCAUUGCAUUGAUGGCAUCUUUGGUGCCUUUGGUUGCUUCCGCCUUAAAAUACUAGGCCAAUUAGAGCAUGGUGCUUAUUUUCUUCAGUGGGCAACUAUGAAAUCCUCACCUAGCAUUUCUUGUGAGGUCACCCAUUUCAGGAAAUAUGUAGCUCUCUUUUAGUGAAGGAAUAACAAAAAAUUUGCUUUAGUUGAAUUUGCAGCAUUAUUGUAAAUAGUUUUGUAGAUCAUCUGUACAUUUUGUCAGUGGCGUAUUCAUGUGCUGGAGGAAUAUUUCUGUGCUGGAGUAAGACAGCCUCUCCAUAACAUUUCUGCUCUUCAACUGAUGGCUAGUCUCUGGAGAACCCCCUCUGAGAGUUGGAAGUUAGGGAAGCAAGAUUACUGCUCUGACAUAGGUAUUUUUUUUAAUGAGUAAUUACUUCUUUUCUUAAAGAACUUGUAAACUUCUUCAGAACAGCUAGAACUUUUUUCCCAAUAAGACCUUCAUAUAUAGGUUCUCUGAUCUGUUGUUGUAGAAUGUGUAUUAAGACCUAUGGAUUUGUGUUAUAUAGGAAGUCUUAUCGUUAAUACUUUAAAUAGUGAUGUGAAAGCCUGAGUGCUACUGUCAUAUUUUUCAUUUGCUUUGGGUUAUGUGUAUUCACUUCUAAAAGUAGUGUUUGCUUGGUGAGACUGGAGUUAUCGGUCAACACCAUGUUAUCAAAAAAGUCUGCUUUCUUUUCCUGGGUAAAUUUGUUAAAUUGGAGACGUCAUCAAGUUCAAACCUCUCUAGUAAUUAAACGAGAAUACUUUGUGGAUUGGCUACACUUGAGCAAAAACUCCACUUUGGGAGUGCAUAAAAGUGUGGAUGAGGAUAAAAGAGGCGGCUCGGGGAGAAUGAGAAACGUGGUCGAUUGACCCAGAGAGCACUGGAGCAGCGAACCGAUCAAAACCCAGUUUUAUAUGGGUGUAAAGAAUGGGCUGUGGAAAAUGGUCCUCAAGUGAUGCUAAAUGGCUUUAAGGCCUUGCAUGUUAAAAAGAGGGGGGGGACAAAAUCUUUUGUGAAUGGGUGUGGGAGGGUACUGAGAUUAACAUAAUGUAAGGCAAAGUUUGUAUAUAGUUAAAAGUUUAUAAUUUUUUUUAUAUGAUGCAUUUUUUCAAGUGUAUUUUGGUCUUUAAUAGAUGCAAUUGUAAGUACUGUGUACACUAUCCAGCUAAUAAAAAUUUAUAAAC
Molecule: long non-coding RNA, 1855 nt
Organism: Pygoscelis adeliae (Adelie penguin)
Lineage: Eukaryota; Metazoa; Chordata; Aves; Sphenisciformes; Spheniscidae
Exons: 2
Source: RefSeq, a predicted model, not a curated record